UAUAUCAUACCCUUGUUGGUAGCGACCAUA
RNAcentral lists this non-coding RNA (30 nucleotides) under Mus musculus (house mouse). The record is from RNAcentral. Lineage: Eukaryota; Metazoa; Chordata; Mammalia; Rodentia; Muridae.